RNAcentral lists this ribosomal RNA (253 nucleotides) under uncultured bacterium. RNAcentral's name for it is "partial 16S ribosomal RNA". It matches the Rfam family "Bacterial small subunit ribosomal RNA", at positions 524 to 776 of the family's 1533-position model. The record is from RNAcentral.
GACGGAGGAUGCAAGCGUUAUCCGGAAUGAUUGGGCGUAAAGCGUCCGCAGGUGGCAGUUCAAGUCUGCUGUCAAAGACCGGGGCUUAACUUCGGAAAGGCAGUGGAAACUGAACAGCUAGAGUAUGGUAGGGGCAGAGGGAAUUCCUGGUGUAGCGGUGAAAUGCGCAGAUAUCAGGAGGAACACCGAUGGCGAAGGCAGGUCUCUGGGCCAUUACUGACACUGAGAAGCGAAAGCAUGGGGAGCGAACAGG